CGGAAAAUAUGGCGUCAGUCUAUUGUCGAAAAUCGCGGUGAAAUACGUUACGCCGAAACAUGUGCAUAAUUACAUGAAAUUGAUAUUAAAAUUUAUAAUUUAUAUAUUUCCAGUGCAAUUAUUUUAUUAAUGUGUGUGUGUUUAAUCAUUUAUUAAGUAAAAAUAUACCAAAAUUAAAUAGUUUUUGAACUUCUUUUUUUUUCUUUUUUUUCGUUUCACAUUGCUCUUCAAUUUGAUGUGUGUAGUGUAAUUUAUAUACAAGUUUUGUGUCCAAAUUUAAUUCAAUCGUUGUUUUAUUUUAAUAUUCUUUUAAUUUUAUACAUUUUUUUACGGUUUUAAUCUUUAUUUGUGUAAAUUAUCGUUUGAUUAUUCGAAUGACUUCGAAGACGUAAUAGGUUAUGCAUGGUUAUGCAUAGUUAUGCAUGAUUAUGCGUAAUUAUACAUGAUAAUUAAGAGAUAAUCCAUAAUUUUUUUAAAAAUAUCGUAAGAUUUUAUUUAUUUUAACAAAAAAAUGUAAUUAUAAAUUCGGUGAUAAUUAUAAUAAAAAGAAUAGAUCUUUAUAAUCUUUUAUUUUAAAUAUAUCUUUACACGUGUUCUCUAUAUUGCGUCUGUUCUAUUCGAAUGUUCGAUGUAUACUGGAUUUCUGUAUUUGUUUUGAUGACACACUCGAGUCGAUAAUAUUUCUUACAAUAAUUCUUACUAAGAAAUUCGUGUUUAUAUACAUUCGACGUGUUACGAUUGUGCCGUCGACAAAUUUUGUUUUGAAUUUGUAACUGUAAGGUGAAAUCGUCGUGCGAGGCGUCACUUUAUCGUUGAAAGUCGUAGCGAUCGGAUCGCUUUCGGUACGCGAGUAAUCUAUUGCGUAUUACGUUAUUUUCAUAUUGCGUAUUACGUUAUUUUUAUAGAUUUUUUUUACUUUUUUUAAAUAUAUUAUUAUUUAAUUAAUACGCGUUUAUUCAAUAAUUAGUUGAAUAUAUUAUAAUUUUUUGUAUAUUUUUUUAAUAAUUUUUUCUUCAUUUUUUCUUAUUUUAGGUUAUUUUAGGUUAGAAUUGUUGGUAGUUCGUAUCAUGAGUUUCUAAAAUGAAAUUUUUGCGUAAUUAUUUUUUUGUUUUAACACAUUCGGUUCUAAUUUUAUAUUUAAAUAUAUUUUAUAUAUUUAUUUAAUUAUUUUUUUAUGGAAAUUAAUAGCUAAUUAAUGAAAUAACUUUUCAAUAUGGUCAAUCAGAUAAUUUACUUUCAAAAAUUUUUGUGAUCGCGAUUACAAUAGAGUCAGUGUUUGCUUCGUAACAGUAUUUUUUAAUGUUUUUAAUGUAUAAUUGUUCUAGUUAAAAUUAAUUAUAUGUUUUUUGUAAAAUUCGAGUCAGUGUUCGUCGAUUAGAUAUAACUUAAACAAUUAUGUCGAUAGUUUUUUAUUUUUUCUUAAAUAUUCGUUUUCGAUACAUAUUAGAAUCAGUGUUUCAAGAAAAUGAAGCGAUCAUCUGCUCGAAAAGAUACUUCCCAGUUUCUUCAUCUGCGAUUACGUCUUGAUUUUUUCUAGACCAUAGCAGCAUGAUGAUGUCCUUCGCAUCUAACGUUCCAGACUGUUCCUUCGUUGCUCCCCGAACGGCCCUUACACGACAAAAAGUACGGGGAGUAGUUACGGCGACCGGUGAACAGCACCUUACGCCAACGUCAACGUUGCCUCCGUUCCGUGAAUCGGCCGUUCCCGGCUAACGUCCUUGGGCUUCUAAUAUUUACACGCUCGCAGCGCGAGCCACCACGCUGAUAUUCCCAACGUUGACGAUAAAGCCAACGGCGUAAAGAACUGAAUUGAAUUUUGCGUGCAAACAGGAUCAGUCGCCUUAGAGUGUAAAUAAUGGCGGGGCAGCGUUGUGACGCGAGCUUUCCCCGAGAUACUGCCCCCUUUCAUGGAACCAGUAAUUCGACGUUAUCUGCGGAUGUCCCUUUAUGAGCGACGUCGCGCGUUGCGGUUUAACUUCCAUUCAUGUAAUUCGAUCGUUUCGAGAAGCCUGAGUGUAUAUAAUAUAGCCUGUGCACCGACGUGAAUAAAAAUAAAAAAGAAAAAAAAAAGAAAGAAAAAGAGAGAGAGAAGAAGAAAAAAAAAAAGAAAGAAUGAAAGAAAGAAAGAAGUACAAGAAGCGUUUGGAGAAGGCUCUGACGACACGGAGUAAAAAAGGGCGUAAAAACUUACGAGCACGAUAGUUGUUUUUCACCUAUACGACUAAGGCAAAAAAAAAAAAAAGGACACGGUGUAAGAGGUUGGAAUAAAAGACGCGUGAAAGAAACAAGACACGCAAGUACUGCAAAUCGAGAGAAAGAAACGUAGUGUAAAAGAAAAAAAAAAAAAAAAAUGUUGCGGUGCUGCACGCCGCCGGUUAGCCCCUGGGCUUGAAAGUCUAUUGUCCUCGGUUCAUUACACAUUUUCAGAAGUGUCCUGGCGAAGGACAGUGGGUGGAGGGACCAGUCGCUGACCAGAUGCAUGACAACGAAACUGAAAUAUCAGAUUUCACUGACGUUGCGUCUUUUUACCAUAGUGCGUUUUUCGCGAGCAACGGCCACCAAAGGCAGAGUGGAAAAAAGAAGAACGGAGGGAAAAAAAGGGAAAAACAUUUUACAAAACGUUGUUCUCCGUCCCAGGGAAGCAGGCAGAGGGGGAGGGAGUGGGAUUUUCAGCUCCGAUAAUAGUCACUUUUGGGGUAACCGAGCGAAUCCAUUGAAUCACCGAUCGCCAAUUUCUCGUAGUCAUCGAUGACGCGUUUAGAAGAGUCAUAAGGAAGAGCUAGACAACUUGUAACAAUACCAGUCUCCAAAAUAAUGUGCUCGAAGACGCAAACACGUCAAUUAAGUUGAUUUCACAGUUACGAAACGAGACAUGGGAAAAAGGACGAGGAACAAACAUUUUAACGAUAAGCUUCGCUGUUGCCACCGCUGCUACUACUUAGGUCGUCCUUCGCUUCGGAAACUUUUAAGAAGCUGAAGAAGAAUAUUCGCAAAUGGAGUACUCAAGUUCCAGUUUGCGGUCAGUACGCUCAUAUUAUACAGCCGUGAUCUUUGUAGAUUACAAACGAAAGUCUUUUCUCUUAGCGGCGUUCCGGCGAUGUUAAACUUUUGUGGGCCAGCAGCCGUCCAUUACGGUGAUAACAUUGCAGCCAUCAACCUUACCACUGCUUACCACUCCCCAUCUCUCGAAGAAGAAGAAGAAACUGCUUUUAAUCUUCAAAGAGGAUUCUUUUAACCCUUUGUACAUAAGUAGAUUUCUCCUUCCUUAUGAAACGAAACUUGUCAUAAUUUCUUGGUGUUUCUCAAACUUAAAUAAAUACGAAUCUUUAUUUAUAUCGUUCGAUGGGAACGAAGCAUAUGACAACUUGGCUUAAUAAUGAUAAUUCGGCAUACGAAUGAAGAAUUGUUGAAAGUACAACAGGUAGUGCAGAAACUUUCAACUGAAAAGGAAGAAAGACGGAGAAGAAAACCUGGCUAAUCGGCAAUACGAUCGGGCCGAUCGUAAAGCGAAAGGAAAGGCUUUCGCCCUGAAACGUAGUCACCUGUAAUCUGCCUGUAAACGGUUUAAAGUACGCUAAUUCUCCUCUACCUCGGGAAAACAUCUCCCCAGACCAAGCCUCUUAGGAAACGCUCGUUAGGCUUGCCUUGUAAGCGGCCGGUAUACCUGCGUGCCGCGUUUCACCUCCUCGUUGAUUCGAUCUCUCCAGAUCCCGGCGAGAACACGUGAGAAUCGAAAGUCGCAGAAACGGACCGCGACCGUUUGAAAACGGAUGAUGCAACGUUGCUCUCCGCGCAAGCGCAGUGGCGGUGGUGGGGGCGGUUCGACACGCGUCUAAUACCGAUUAUACCGCGUUUAACACGAGCGUCUUCCGUUUCGACCACGCAACGAAUAGAAACGCGGCGGUUUCAAGCGCAUGGUCGUCGUUAAGAGAACGAACGUGUUUCUCGGACGAAUCGCCCGCUCGCGUGUAUUUAAUCGGAUCGUCGGUGAACGCCCGAUCCAGACCGGACGCUCCGUAUCAAUCGGCCUCGCGUGAAUGCUACUACUACUGCUAUUACCACUGCUACCGUCACUGCAGGUAAUGAUAUCGUAGGGCGGGGACGAAGGAUUUCGCGUUUGUGUAUCUAUAGGUAUGUAUAAUGUACCAGAGGGGUGAUAUUAGGAGGGAGGAAGGGAGGGAAAGGGCUCGUUAUGGUCGGUUUUGGGGCAGGAUAUGGUUUGAGAGUAGUGUAUUUAAGAGCCGUCGUACGUGUUUAAUAUACGGGAAGCGUGGAUGUUACGUUAUCAUCAAGAUCGACGUGUAGUUGUAACCUUGAUAAUUUGCAGAGAGAUCUUCUCUUCAUAUUUUGAAUGGUAAAUAAAUCUUACGCGUGUGCAUUAUGUGUUAUCUUGUUUCUUUUUUUUUUUUUUUUUUUGAAAAUAACUUUACUCGUGGAAGGGAAAAUUUGUUCGAAAUGAUUCGAAGAUAAGAAAAUGAAUGUAAGAUAAUGGAAAUAUCUUGUAGUUAAUCGGAUUUAUCGAACGUGCAAGAAGAAAUGUGUUUAUCGAACAUUUAUUUGCAUUAUCAUUAGCAAAACUUAGCAACAACAAUGUAAUAAAAUAAACAAAAAUGUAAUAAAGAAUUGUUAAUUUUUGUUAGCAUGACGAGAAAA
This is a long non-coding RNA of Apis cerana (Asiatic honeybee), 4653 nucleotides long. RefSeq lists it as uncharacterized. The record is from RefSeq and is a predicted model, not a curated record. Lineage: Eukaryota; Metazoa; Arthropoda; Insecta; Hymenoptera; Apidae.